Papaver somniferum (opium poppy) is the source of this 609-nucleotide long non-coding RNA. RefSeq lists it as uncharacterized. Lineage: Eukaryota; Viridiplantae; Streptophyta; Magnoliopsida; Ranunculales; Papaveraceae. The record is from RefSeq and is a predicted model, not a curated record. The transcript is spliced from 2 exons.
AAUAAGCUUCUUCCCAAGUUCUCCUCCGACUUCUUUCCUUUCUCAGUUUUCCCGCAGAAAAAUUCCUUCUAUCAUUCCACUGAAACCAUUCGACUGACAAUAAUGUGAAAUUAACCUUCGCCUCAAGUUUCUUCUCGCUUUUCAUGCAAUUACCUCGAUGGGGUUAAUCGACAAAAGUGUUAGUAACAAACAGGUACGGAUGUUCGUGAGACAUUGAGGCCUGGGAAUUAUCAAAGAAGAAGUUUCAUGGUGAACCACUCAAUAGUUGGGUCGAUGCAGCUGAGAUUCAACUACGGGUCAUCGCUAGAACGAGUACUAUAAUUUUUGUUUAUCCAGAUGUCUGAACUUAUGUGAAAAAAAUUGUUGAAGUAUUAACUUCUGAUUAAUAGAAGGAGAAAAGAAAAUCGUUUUACUGAUGCAUUUUACUGUUGUGUCAUAGUUCUGCAAACAUGAAAGGUAAGUUUGAAAAGAGUUGGUGUUUGCCAUUGUGCAACACACGUGCACUCUACUUGUGUUUUUAAGAAGGAUAACUAGGGUUUGUAAUAGCCAUUAUUGUGAGUACACAUAACUAUUUCCAACGAUUUUCAUCUUGCAAUGUUUUUAGAUUUA